RNAcentral lists this ribosomal RNA (157 nucleotides) under uncultured bacterium. Its description in RNAcentral is "partial 16S ribosomal RNA". It matches the Rfam family "Bacterial small subunit ribosomal RNA", at positions 355 to 509 of the family's 1533-position model. The record is from RNAcentral.
UGAGGAAUAUUGGUCAAUGGACGCAAGUCUGAACCAGCCAAGUAGCGUGCACGGAUGACGGCCCUCCGGGUGUAAACUGCUUUUAGUUGGAAUAAAAGGGGGCUCGUGAGCCCCGUAUUGUAUGUACCAUCAGAAAAGGACCGGCUAAUUCCGUGCC